This 819-nucleotide ribosomal RNA is filed under the name uncultured marine bacterium. RNAcentral's name for it is "bacterial SSU rRNA". It matches the Rfam family "Bacterial small subunit ribosomal RNA", at positions 29 to 896 of the family's 1533-position model. The record is from RNAcentral.
ACGUACGCUGGCGGCACGCCUAACACAUGCAAGUCGAACGAAGUAGCAAUACUUAGUGGCAGACGGGUGAGUAACAUGUAGGUAUCUGCCCUUUGGCCUGGAAUAACACGAGGAAACUUGUGCUAAUACCGGAUAAGUCUUUACGGAGAAAGCUUUAUGCACCAUUGGAUGAGCCUGCACUUGAUUAGUUUGUUGGUAGGGUAAUGGCCUACCAAGACUGUGAUCAAUAGCUGAUUUGAGAGGAUGAUCAGCCACAUUGGGACUGAGACACGGCCCAAACUCCUACGGGAGGCAGCAGUGGGGAAUCUUGCACAAUGGAGGAAACUCUGAUGCAGCGAUGCCGCGUGAGUGAAGAAGGCCCUUGGGUUGUAAAGCUCUUUCGUCGGGGAAGAAAAUGACUGUACCCGAAUAAGAAGGUCCGGCUAACUUCGUGCCAGCAGCCGCGGUAAUACGAAGGGACCUAGCGUAGUUCGGAAUUACUGGGCUUAAAGAGUUCGUAGGUUGUUGAAAUAGUUGGUGGUGAAAUCCCAGAGCUCAACUCUGGAACUGCCAUCAAAACUUUUCAGCUAGAGUAUGAUAGAGGAAAGCAGAAUUUCUAGUGUAGAGGUGAAAUUCGUAGAUAUUAGAAAGAAUACCAAUUGCGAAGGCAGCUUUCUGGAUCAUUACUGACACUGAGGAACGAAAGCAUGGGUAGCGAAGAGGAUUAGAUACCCUCGUAGUCCAUGCCGUAAACGAUGUGUGUUAGAUGUUGGAAAUUUAUUUUCAGUGUCGCAGGGAAACCGAUAAACACACCGCCUGGGGAGUACGACCGCAAGGUUA